RNAcentral lists this ribosomal RNA (219 nucleotides) under uncultured Sphingobacteriales bacterium. RNAcentral describes it as "partial 16S ribosomal RNA". It matches the Rfam family "Bacterial small subunit ribosomal RNA", at positions 1165 to 1382 of the family's 1533-position model. Lineage: Bacteria; Pseudomonadati; Bacteroidota; Sphingobacteriia; Sphingobacteriales. The record is from RNAcentral.
GGAGGAAGGUGGGGAUGACGUCAAAUCAGCACGGCCCUUAUGUCCAGGGCUACACACGUGUUACAAUGGCCGGCACAGAGGGCAGCUACCUGGUGACAGGAUGCUAAUCUCGAAAAACCGGUCUCAGUUCGGAUCGAAGUCUGCAACUCGACUUCGUGAAGCUGGAUUCGCUAGUAAUCGCGCAUCAGCCAUGGCGCGGUGAAUACGUUCCCGGGCCUU